UCAGUGAUCUUGCUCUUCUCUAUCCCAAGUUGCUCGACCAUAUAAUCUUUGAUAUUCUGCCCACAUGCUGCUGCAAGACCAGAACUAAGGGGAUAAAGGGUAUCAUCAAGAUCAAACAAAAGGCAAUCAUAUUUAGGCCUUUGUGCCUGGAGAUAGCAAUCCUCAUACUCCAUUUUUUAUCUUGAAACCAACUGAAGAACUAUAGGAGCAAAAUAGAGACAGAAACUGAGUGAAUAAUAAUAAUACAGAGCAAAG
RNAcentral lists this unclassified non-coding RNA (255 nucleotides) under Hevea brasiliensis (rubber tree). The record is from RNAcentral. Lineage: Eukaryota; Viridiplantae; Streptophyta; Magnoliopsida; Malpighiales; Euphorbiaceae.